This 1489-nucleotide long non-coding RNA is filed under the name Heterocephalus glaber (naked mole-rat). Its description in RNAcentral is "lncRNA (ENSHGLG00100036396.1)". Lineage: Eukaryota; Metazoa; Chordata; Mammalia; Rodentia; Bathyergidae. The record is from RNAcentral.
CUCAGAUAUUUGAACACCUGAUCAAAAUUUAUUCUGGCUGAGUGUGGUGAUGCAUGCCUAUAAUCUCGGCACUCUGGGAGACUGAGGCAGGAGGAUCACAAGUUCGAGCCCAACUUGGCCAACUUAGUGACUUAGUAAGACACUUCACAGAAAGAAAAAAAAAUAGGAUUUGGGAUGUAGUUCUGUGUGAAGGUCCUGGGUUUAAUUCUCAGUGUGAAAAAACAAUAACAAGUUGUGCGAAACGUGCCAAAUCAGCCUGGGCCCGGCAGCAAUCCACUGGACACCCCCCUCCCCCUGUACAGCCACCUGGUUCCACACUACAAAGACGCAGAGGACACCAGACCACCAGACCACUGUACUGGAAACACAAAACCAAGAGAAUGGUAACCUUGUGGAGAAAGUUUCUUCUCACAUAAAAUGAGGUGACAAAGAGGACAAACAUCAGACUUCUUGUUUGAUGGAAGGACAAGAGGAAUGUGAACAUUGUUCCUAUGACAAAAGAUGGGCAAGCCGGGGAACCAGGAUGAAAUGCAACAAACAAACAAAUAAGAAAGACCGAGUUUUCCUGAUUCAAUCGGCCUAUUUCUUUUACUCAAGAGUCUGUGUGGAAGUGAUAGAUAAUUAUUCUUCCAAACAGUUGCUUUUCACUUCCAUGAUGCAGUGCAGCUGGGACUAGACCGCCCCGUCAAAAAUUCCAUUUUUCAGCAGAACCACAUCCUCAUAAAUGAUGUGAUGGCACUUGUUUUCUACAAUGGCUUAUAAGCAGAACGAGUCACUUCUCACCUCUAGGAAUUAAUCCAGUUCCUCCUGGGUUUAAAGAAUGAAGACAAAGACCACAGCAUCCAAGAAAUGAAACAUUUAUUAAGACUGGGAAAGCUGUUUUUAAUUACCUUCUCGGGCUAUAUACGCUGAUGAAGACGGUGCUUUAACAGUGUUUUAACACAUUGCUGCCUUUUAAAGAAGAGCAACGGUUACCUCAGAAGAUCUUGGAACUGCUCCUGGACAGUCCAUGGCGAGUGGCCAUGAAUGGGGAAAUGUCAAGUCCUGCAAUGCCCAUUCAGGAGAGAGAAGGUGAUAUAAUGACAGAUCCAACAGAUACAGUAGAUUCCAUGCUCUUGUGCGUGAUGAGCAAAGAAUUGGACACAUUCAUCCAGAAGCAGAAGAAAAACAACUACAUCUUUUGAAGAUGACGGGGAGAAGUGAGCAGUGUGGUCUGCAUGAACAGAAAAAUGGGGCCAGGACAACGGGGAAGUCAAAAGCACUACAGGUGCUGUGCUAAAUGCUUUGCACAUAGUGUCUCACUGUAUCUUAAUUCUCAGAACAGUUCAGUACUUGUGCCCAGGGUUACAAGCAGUAAAAAAAAAAAAAAAAAAAAAAAAAAUAGAAGGGGAAGGCUGCUGGGAUAAUAACCAGUUCAGUCUGAUUCAAAGCCUAUGUUCUUAACUACUGUGACUUUAACCACUACCACAUAUCACUGGUACUAAUAAAC